RNAcentral lists this transfer RNA (69 nucleotides) under Gasteruption parvicollarium. RNAcentral's name for it is "tRNA-Leu". RNAcentral also lists the same sequence under 1 other name. Lineage: Eukaryota; Metazoa; Arthropoda; Insecta; Hymenoptera; Gasteruptiidae. The record is from RNAcentral.
AUUAUUUUGGCAGAUAAGUGUAAUAGAUUUAGAAUCUAUUAAUAUAUUAAUUUUUUAAUAUAAAUAAUA